GAUUCAAAGAGCGGUGCCUCUUCGAUUUUUUGAGAAACCAAUCCUGUUGGGAGUCCGACUCUUGAGAUUUGGACAGCAGUGUCUCUUCGAUUUUUGAGAACGUAAUUCUGUUGGGAGUCUGGCUCUCGAGAUUCGGAGGGUGGUGGCUCUUCGAUUUUUGUGUUGGAGAUAUGCCCUGAAAGUCAAUCUUUGGAAGAAACCUUUCAGGACAAUGUCUAUAUGUAUGGAAAACUCUAAUACAUCAAAAGGCAAAGUCACUAAUUAGGACUAUCUUAAUAAACGAUAUACGUCCUAAAAAGUGAAUCCAUGGACAAUGGAUCGAUGGAAGAAGUAAUCUAAUGAUGUUAGACUGCAGAGAUCUUCUUCAUAUAACCAUGAUGUCCAAAAAGGUUCUUAGUCAUAGGAUUGUCGGAGGGACACUGACAAUACAUAGACCAGUACAUACUAUGUCCCCUUCCAAUGGGAAGGAUGGAAAGUCUCAUGCCAUUUGUGUAGUGACACUAAGACAAGUAUGUAGGUGCUCAUUAUGGGAAUGAGUUCACUGAACACAAUCAAAUGAGAGUACUUGCAUGGAGGUCUACUCACAUGUCAAGCAACUCUACUGGUUGGAAUAAUGUAAGUAAUCCUUUAACCUGAGACAUCAUAGUUGUCUUGGGGAUACGUUGCUGAUCAUUUGAUAAUGAGACGUGACCACAUCUCAUCUUGGAUGUGUUCUAUGCAUUGUUGGGGUCAGUGAUUUAUUCUCAGAGGCAUGUGAAUGAUCAACAAGGGAUCUCUAAUCCUCGUUAUGAGAGGAUGAAUACUCUAAGAUAUGAUUCAGGAAUCUUCGGCCGAAGUAUCGAGCGUAAUGAUGGAAAGCGUUCCUAUACGACUCAAUAGAAUCAUAUAACUUGAUAUAAUCACAUUAGGGGUUUGACAUUAAAUAUCCAUACCCUAGUAAUGUGAUUGUGAGUAUUGUAUUAGAGAAGGAUCGAAUUACAUUGAAAUUCCAACUGAAUAGGUUCUCCGAACAAAUUCUACAUUAACUUGGGUAGCCACGAUAUAUGGUUAGAUGUCACUCAUGGCUUGUGAGUUCUUCUAGAUGAUUAAAUAAGUAUUCAUCAAAGAAGAAGGAGAAUUAAAAGUAAGUUUUAAUUCACUAAGUGAUUGGAUAAAUAAUAAUCAAUUGGAUUGAUACCAAUCACCUCACUGCCUUGCUAAUUAAAACCUAAAAUGAUUGUACACCGAAACACUCUUGUGGUGAGACAACUAAAGGAUGAUGGAAUUAAUUAAUUGGAUUAAUUAAGUGUUAUGAUUAAUUAGAAAGUCUAAAGAAAUCAUAUAAACGAUAAAAGAUCGUUUAGGACUUAAAGAAAAGUUCUGGUUCAUUCGGGCCCAUUGGGCCCAAACGAAUUGGGUCCUUUUAUUCAAGCAUAGAAUGACUUGAGAUGAUGAAAGCCCAAAGUCCAAACCCACACUAAGAGGGCCGGCCAAUACUAGUGAAAGGAGGGAGAGGGAGUCAAGUGGUUGACUCACUUCUUUGACAUUUAUAAAGAAAGUUUAGUGAAAAAGUUUUAUUAGGGUUUUUUGUGUGUUCUUUUCAACUAGAGAAAACAAAAGUCUCUCUCUCUCUACACACUACAUAGCCGGCCACCAUAAGGGAGAAAUAGCUAAUCAUCUUUUCUCCUUUUUGGUUAUUCCAACAUCCAUCUCACUACACUAGUGGGUGUGGAUCUUUAGAGGUCUUCUACUUUGGAGACUAGAGGAGAAUCAAAGGAGCUCUAAAUCUAUCAAGGUGGAGGAAGCAAGGAGGGAGGCUAGACUCAAGGAGUUCCAAGAACAAAGAACUUGGAGGUGGUCCAUCCUUGGUCUCAAGUCUAGAUCAAGAGGUAUAAAACUAUACCUUCACUUUGUUCUUCAAUAUUUUCUUAGAUGCAUCAUAUAUGAACCUAUGCUUCUUGAAGGGGAUUUGCAUGACUAUAGCUUUGAUAUUAUGUGAUUACAUGCUUCCGUUGCAAAUGUAUAUAAAUUUUGAAUUGUAUAUGCAUGCUAGUCACUAGAAAUCCCACAUAAAUCUCAUUAUUUCCCUUCAAGUGGUAUCGAGAGCCAAAGGUUUAUAUUUGAUGUGUCCUUUUGGAUUUUAUGCAUAUGGGUUUGAAUUUUAUGUUUGACAUAUUAUUUCUUCAUUCAAAAUAUGUUUAUCUUUUGUUUUUCAAAGGUUGAAAAAUGUGUUUCAAGAGUUGAAAAAGAUAUGUAUGCAAAAAGUGUUUUGGAUGCAUGAAUGAAGAGUGAGUUUUUGAACAAAAUUUGGGGCUUAUGUACCAUAGGGGAGGGCACGGUUUUGGGGGGAUUUUUGGGCUAGUGUUUGUGUUUUAUUUUAAGUCACACACACACACUUUAAAGCUAGAAAGUAGAGGCCUUGUCCCUUUUGUUUUUUGGUUUGAAAAAUCACCAAGAAAGUACAAAUCUUGAAAUUGUUUUCAUGGUUUUGUUCUUGGUGUUCAUGGUUUUGAUCAAUGCUCUAAAAAUCGGUCUAGGCGGCCGCCUAGGCGCUGGGCGGUGGCUAGCCGCCGGGAUUUAACCAAAAUCGGAAGAAAAAUCGGGAAAAGAAUUAGGCCGUCGUUGGUCGGCCUAGGCAGGUAUCUGGGCGGCCUAGGAGGGCGCUAGGCUGCCCGCGGGCGGCUGGGCGGUACCUGAAACUCUCCAGCUCUGUCGCAAAUCACUGUCUUUGCACGGCAACAUCGCCGACGUCCAAACACAUGGAUGACUAAUUGAAUAUAUCAAAGAGCCUUUUAGCAGAUCGGAGAACCUGAUCCAAAAAUAAGAAAUUGGAAGAAGAGAUUUGACAUUUAUAAGGAGGAGGUCGUGUCGGUGUUGCUUCGUCUUCUUGCUUCGACUUCGUGAAGAGGUCGAAGUCUGAAGGCUUUCCCUUUCUUCCUGUUAAAUGUUCAUUGGUUUUCUAACUUUUCUUUACUUUAGUUUAAAUCUAUUUUCUAAAUAUUAAUAUAAUAUUCAUACUUGGUUAUUGUGGCAGUGGAAUCGAGAGUGUGGUGUUAAAUAUGUUUAUCCAUUUUCAAGGGUUAACGUUUAAGUAUUAGUUAUUAUCUUAUGUUAAUAUGUAUUUUACAUCUUGUAUUUUGCUUUUUUUUUAGUUAUUGUCCAUUUAAGUUAUGUUAUUUGGUAUUUUAAUUAAUAAAGAGAUGAUGUAUUAGUCAACUAAAUAUGGAUACAAUGAAAUCGAUGAAAUACGUUGAUGAGGCCACAAUAUAACAAGUUGAAUGCACAUCUUGAAGGUUGGGAGGAUUACCUAAAUCCACCUAGUGAUAUACAAGAUAUACAAAAUAUGGCACAUCUUUAGAAAGUUGUUAUAUCAUUUAACACGUGUAUAGUGAUGCCAUAUUGAACUUGUUAUAUCAUUUAACACAUUGUUUUGACAUUUGGAUACAUGAUAUACAAGUUCAAUGCAGUGUUAAUAUGCACUUAUUUACAAGAUAUACAAGAAGUUUACUUAAAUCGGCCCAGGCCGCCUAGACGCCCGCCUAGACCCCACCUAGCCGCCUAGGCGCUAGGCGCCAGCCCACCGCCCGACUAGCGCCUAGCGUUUUUUAGAACCUUGGUUUUGAUUUUGGUGUAAAAGGUUUUGUUUUAGUGUUCAUACUUUGUUGUUUGAAUUUGGAUGGUAAACUUGCCAUCAAUAGCUUUUCCUUGAUUGACUCAAUCCUAGACUUGACUAGGAGACCUUACACCCAUCAUACCUUUUUAAGCCAACUUGCACAAGUGAUGACAAGGAAAAGCUAGGGUUUUUGCUUUAUUUUGAAACUAAGGGAACAAGAUAGGACCUCUCCCUCUCCCCAUCACAUAACCGGCCACCCUAUUAAUGGAUCCUCUAUGGGCUAUUUUGUAAUUUAAAAAGUUGAUUAUACUUUCUAGUAUUUACGGUUUGACCCAUAACUUUUUAUAAUUGCAUUUUGGCCCCACCUCUUUAUGAGAUUAAAAUAUUAUGAUUUUAAUUUUGUUUGUAGCUUAAACUCAUCAUAUAAUUAUGCCCAUAUGUACUAAAUCUAAUUGAUUAUGUUGCAUUCCAAUUUAAUUAUUUAAUGUGAUUAAGUAGUUAGUAAAAUGGUUGACUAUGGACGUGUGCCUUAAAGGAUAAUUGAGCUAUGAGAAAGGCCGCUAAAUUCAAAUGGUUUGAACCUUGGGAAUGUGUUUUAAUUGCUAUUUUAAUUGGACCUCAACAUGUUAGACAUUAAUCUUUCUCUCCCUCUUAGUAUAUGUAAUUUGUACAAAUCGGUUUGUAAUUCUUUUUACUUCUUUAUCUCUUUCAAUUAGUUGAUUCCCUCUAGUACUAGACUAGAGUUUCUUUAACUAUUGGUAAGGAAACAUAUUAAAAGGGGUUUUCAUGAGAUUAAAGAUUUGUUGGGUCCAACGCCCUAAUUAGCAAUGAAUGAUUAUCCUUCGUUUCUAAUGGCUUAAUGAAAAAUGUUUUAAUUGGAUUGAAAGCGCGUAAUUAAAACGAUACAUUCCUCCCUAGAUCUUAUUCAACAAUGUUGGCUCGUUGUUGAAUCAACCUAAUACGUCCAUAGUCAUCCAAAGAGCCUAAGAUAACUAUAAAGUCCAAAUUUGAAGGAAUGCAAAAAACUUAGUAGUAGUAGUUACUUCCAAUAUUUGAAAAAUUCAAUUUUUGAUAUUGAUUUGUUUUUCUCAAAACAAAUAGUGGGAGUAUCAUACGCUACUAAACUAAAAUGAACACAAUUAGUAGUGAUAUAUAUCUCCAAUAUUUUGAAAAAUUGUUUUGAUAUUGAUUUGUUUUACGAAAACAAAUAGUGGAGAUAUCAUAUACUACUAAUUUCAUUUACUUUGGACUAGUAGUUGUAAUAGGACACAAUUUAUUAUAAUUUGAUUAAAUAAAUAAAAUGAUGAGACCUUAAAAUCCCUCAACCAACAUCCAAUAUUAAGUUGAAAGCGGAGAGGUGCUUUUUAAACACUUCUUCGUGGCCUUCCACCAUGGUAGGCUCCAAUCGUUUAUGACGCAUACACCGCCUUCACCCUAUCAUGGGGGAGUUCAAAGUAUGUGCUUAUACUCAGGAGGAGUCUAUUUCAAACAUUUGAUGUGGUGAAGGUAGGCAACGAGUAUGGCCGACAUCGUAUCAUCGUGAGGUCAUACUUGGACCCCUAUCCGAACCGGCAUGGUGGGUCAAAACUUAACUAAGAGAAAUGGUGCCAACAUCAUAUCAUUGUGAAGCAUUGUUCCCUAGAGGCCAAUUAGAUGGGUAAUCAAAAGAGGUUGUUGUGAAUGGGUAGCCAUACCCUCUCAUUAUUAUUUUUGCUAGCCGACAUCGUAUCAUCGUGAGGUGGGCUUGGUAAUAGUGAGCCUCCCAUAACCCGCUAGGAGCUUUCAUUGAAAUCUCCGGAUUCCAUCUUGAGGGAUAUGGAAUUUGCCAAAAUUAGUGGGUGGUGUCAUUCAGUUUCAAGACCCGAAUCGUUUGACUUAAUCAACAAUCAAACUAAUUUAUUUUAUUGUUAUGUAUUUAGAUAUGGUUGGAAGCACACUUGCAAAGAUACUCGACAAGCAUUGCCUUGAGGGGCACAAUUUCCCAUCUUGGUAUCGUAAUGUCAAGAUUCUCCUAACCUUGGAGAAAAUUGUUUACGUACUAGACAAGGCUGCACCUCACAUACCUCUUGGCCCUGAGGCCACUGAGGAUGAACGUGCUAAGUAUGACAAGCACGUUGAGGAUGAUACACAAGCUAAGUGCUAUAUGUUGGCUUCCAUGAAUGAGGAGCUGCAGAGACAGCAUGAGGGUAUGGAUAGUGCAUCAUCCAUCAUACUCCAUCUUACGAAGUUAUAUGGUGAAGGGACGCGCAAUCGUCGCUUCAGCACUGUCAGUGAACUUGUGAAGACCAAAAUGGUCAAGGGAGCCCCAGUGCAUCAACAUGUAUUGAAAGAUGAUUGGACUCAUUGAACAAUUGGAGAACCUAAGGACUCCACUUGACGGGGAAUUGGCCCAGGACUUCAUCUUGGCUUCUCUUUCUGAUUCAUUCUCGCAGUUCGUCAUGAACUACAACAUGAACAAGAUGGAUAGCAUUCUCUCUGAGUUACUAAACAUGUUAGUAACCGUUGAGAAGACUAUGAAGAAAGAGAAUGUUGUAGGGACUGCUGCAGUAGCCUACAACAAGCCAUCCACUUCCAAGGCUAAACCGAAAGGCAAAGGCAAAGGAAAGGAGAAGAAGUCACCCACUCCUAAGGCACAAGGAGGAGUGAAGAAAAAGAAGGCAAAGGAGCCCAAGGGGACUUGCCACCACUGUGGAAAGGACGGGCAUUAGAAGAGGAAUUGCAAGUUAUACCUUGCAUCUUUGAAGGAUAAGCCACAAGGUAUGGUUUUGUUCUUAUCUUCAAUUCUAAUUGUUAGAUCUUUUAAUCUUUAUAUUUGAUAUGAAAUGCUAAUCACUUAUGCAAUUGUAUGUAGGUGAUGGAGCCAAGUAGAAGAUGGAUAAGCAAAGAAAAGGAAUGGAAUGAAGGGUUCGGCCAUUAUCUUUUUGCUAACUACUUCGGAAGUUUGUUAGGCUUCAUAUGACGGAAGACCCACUUUUGGUGCCUAUAUGAAGGUAUAUAAUUAGUCUCUAAUGUAGGAGCUAAUUCUUUUGUAUUAAAAAAUUAUGAAUGUUUAACUUAUCAUAUCAAUGUAAUGUGAUGAAUGCCUUCUACUAAAUUUGUUCUUCAAAGUAGUAUUAUGAAUUGAAAAUUGUCUUGUUGUAUUCUAGUUGAGAUACAAGAAUGUAUCACUUAUAUAAUGCGAUAUCCAAGCUUUGGAUUUAUCAAUUAAGGAUAGAUCUUACAUGUUGGCCAUAGAUGGAUACAAUGAAUCUUUAGAUUUGGUUCCAAUUGCCUACAUAUGAGUUCUAUAUGAAUUGAGAAAGUCUAGAGAUUCCUUUCUUGAAGAAAAGGAAGAUCACAUUAUAAUGACAUAAGUAAUACAUAAGAAAAACGUUUCUUUUAUGGUUAUCACUUACUUAACCACAAUAACCAAGAUCACUCUUGGUUCAAUUAGUAGUUUCGAACAACUAAUUGGACAUUCUUAAAUUGUUUUAAGAAAUGUCAAAUAUGUUAGUGAUCAAACCAAUGAUGAAGUAUUUAAAUCUAUAAAAGGUUUAAAGACUUUAGUUACUUAAUAACAAGACAUGAGCUUAGUGGAGUUGGAACAAUAAGCUUAAAAGAUUCUAAGCUACUCCACAAUGUCCUCUACCCAUAUACUUCAUAAUUAUACACUAUGAAUGUAUAAUGCGAUUUCUCAUUAAGGUCAUGAGAAACAGUGGGAGGUGAGAAAAAGGAUAUAAACUUGAAUAUGAUUGGUUUAUAAGUUGUCUAAAAUUAAUAGUGCAUCACUAUUAUUAAUGAGUUUGUAAUUUUAAUUGUUAAAAGGUCUCAAACUCUUCGAAGUGUUAAAAUCGAUGUUGUGUAACAUUCUAAGAAUAAUCUAUGAAUGUUGGUUUCACCAACCUAGCAUAAAAUGGUUAUAUGUUGGGAGUUGUCCAUCAUUCUCUUUUACGAGAACAAGCUAAGUACAAAGCAAAUGGACAAGUUGAUGAAAUAAAAGGGAAUAGUUUCAAAAUGAGUCACAACAUAUAGUUUAACAACAAGACAAUCCGAUUUCGACACCUCAUGUAACUAUAAUGCUCUAUGUAGUUUUAAUAAGGAAUUAAAUCAACCACCUAGUCGGAAUGGUUGAAUUCCUAUAUCCUUAGUAGGAGCCAUGCUUCCACUAAUGAUUUGUAUAAUUCUUAUAUGACUACUUUAAAAGGUUUUAGUAUGAAUAAAACUAGAAAUAUGAUGUUUGACACCAUAUAGUUUAAAUGAAUGGACUUGAUAAAGUCACACAUAUCAAAUGGGAUUACUUGAGAAGGAAUUCUUUUGCAUAUGUUCGUUUAAAUAACUUGUGUUAGCUAGAGUUGUUGAUUGUCCAAAAUUGUUGAGACAUCAUCAAUAAGCUAAUGGAUCUUAAAGAUUGUUAAUAGAUCCAAGACAAGUUAGUGGGAGCUAUAUGCAUUCAAAUCAAGAAAAUAUAAGUGUUAUGUUUUCUUAAGGUUUCGAUUGAAUGCUUAGUUACAACAAGGUUAGUGGGAGUGAUGUUAUACUUUUGAGCAACAUAUUAUGAAUGAAGUCUAUUUGAUAGACGUAAUAAAUAUUGAUGUUACUCAAAAUGACAAAUUGUGACAAGGUCAAUUUUGAAGUACAGACUUAAAAUGGACUUAUUGAUACAGCAAGGUUGUCUCAAGAAUGUUGUAUAAGGAAAUUGAAUCUCAAACGUUGAAGAUAUGAGAAAGUAUUUCUACAUAUUUUAGAAAAAUUGCUUUCAUGACCCUUAUAAAGAAUAUGUCACAAAAUCACAAAAGGGACACAUGUAUGGACCUGUGAGAUGAUAUCCAAAAGUGAACAACCAUAAGGGUUGUCACUUUAAGAUAUUACUAUGGCCCAGGAUCAGAACCAUAGCAACUGAUAGAAUAUUAUUACCUUUGAGAAAGGAACAUCAGAGUGAGACUCUAGAAGUGUGCAUUCACUUGGGUUAUAAACCAAAGUGACAAUAACCCAUUUUAACAAAUGGGACUUCAUGGUGGAUGAAGUACUAAUCAUAUGAAAGUAUUGUUAGUAUGGUACUACAAUGGUCUCAAGGUUGGAGCAAAGUGUGUAUAAAGUAUACAAACGAAAUAUAUGUCGAUAUAUAUUAAAGUUUUAGAAACUGCUUCAAAAGGUGUUUCGAAUAGACGGGGUUCAUUUUGAACCAAUGAUUGAAUCCAAACCAUAAGGUCAUUAGUAGGAUACUACGACGUAAUGGGGCGAUAGCACAAGCCAUGGAAUCAAGGUCUCAUCAAAGUAUUUGAACACAAAGAAGAGACAACAUUAAAUGUUUUGGAAACAUUUAAUAAGUAAAUCCUUUUAUGUUAAAAGGAUUAAUGCAUAACCUAGUUAACCUACGAGCUCAAGUUCACUCGACUAACAUUUAUAAGAUGCAAAACUGAUUGACUUUAGUGCAAGUAGGAGAUUGUUGGAGAUAUGCCCUGAAAGUCAAUCUUUGGAAGAAACCUUUCAGGACAAUGUCUAUAUGUAUGGAAAACUCUAAUACAUCAAAAGGCAAAGUCACUCAUUAAGACUAUCUCAAUAAAUGAUAUACGUCUUAAAGAGUGAAUCCAUAGACAAUGGAUCGAUUGAAGAAGUAAUUUAAUGAUGUUAGACUGCAGAGACCUUCUUCACAUAACCAUGAUGUCCAAAAAGGUUCUUGGUCAUAGGAUUGUCGGAGGGACACUGACAAUACAUAGACCAGUACAUACUAUGUCCCAUUCCAAUGGGAAGGAUGGAAAGUCUCAUGCCAUUUGUGUAGUGACACUAAGACAAGUAUGUAGGUGCUCAUUAUGGGAAUGAGUUCACCGAACACAAUCAAAUAAGAGUACUUGCAUGGAGGUCUACUCACAUGUCAAGCAAGUAACUCUACUGGUUAGAAUAAUGUAAGUAAUCCUUUGACCUAAGACAUCAUAGUUGUCUUGGGGAUACGUUGCUGAUCAUUUGAUAAUGAGACAUAACCAUAUCUCAUCUUGGAUGUGUUCUAUGCAUUUUUGGGGUCAGUGAUUUAUUCUUAGAGGCAUGUGAAUGAUCAACAAGGGAUCUCUAAUCCUUGUUAUGAGAGGAUGAAUACUCUAAGAUAUGAUUUAGGAAUCUUCGGUCGAAGUAUCGAGUGUAAUGAUGGAAAGCGUUCCUAUACGACUCAAUAGAAUCAUAUAACUUGAUAUAAUCACAUUAGGGGUUUGACAUUAAAUAUCCAUACCCUAGUAAUGUGAUUGUGAGUAUUGUAUUAGAGAAGGACCGAAUUACAUUGAAAUUCCAACUGAAUAGGUUCUUCGAACAAAUUCUACAUUAGCUUGGGUAGCCACGAUAUAUGGUUAGAUGUCACUCAUGGCUUGUGAGUUCUUCUAGAUGAUUAAAUAAGUAUUCAUCAAAGAAGAAGGAGAAUUAAAAGUAAGUUUUAAUUUACUAAGUGAUUGGAUAAAUAAUAAUCAAUUGGAUUGAUACCAAUCACCUCAUUGCCUUGCUAAUUAGAACCUAAAAUGAUUGUACACCGAAACACUCUUGUGGUGAGACAACUAAAGGAUGAUGGAAUUAAUUAAUUGAAUUAAUUAAGUGUUAUGAUUAAUUAGAAAGUCUAAAGAAAUCAUAUAAACAAUAAAAGAUCGUUUAGGACUUAAAGAAAAGUUCAGGUUCAUUCGGGCCCAUUGGGCCCAAACGAAUUGCAUCCUUUUAUUCAAGCAUAGAAUGACUUGAGAUGAUGAAAGCCCAAAGUCCAAACCCACACUAUGGAGGCCGGCCAAUAUUAGUGAAAGGAGAGAGAGGGAGUCAAGUGGUUGACUCACUUCUUUGACAUUUAUAAAGGAAGUUUAUUGAAAAAGUUUUAUUAGGGUUUUUUGUGUGUUCUUUUCGACUAGAGAAAACAAAAGUCUCUCUCUCUCUACACACUACAUAGCCGGCCACCAUAAGGGAGAAAUAGCUAAUCAUAUUUUCUCAUUUUUGGUUAUUCCAACAUCCAUCUCACUACACUAGUGGGUGUGGAUCUUUAGAGGUCUUCUACUUUGGAGACUAGAGGAGAAUCAAAGGAGCUCUAAAUCUAUCAAGGUGGAGGAAGCAAGGAGGGAGGCAAGACUCAAGGAGUUCCAAGAAGAAAGAGCUUGGAGGUGAUCCAUCAUUGGUCUCAAGUCUAGAUCAUGAGGUAUAAAACUAUACCUUCACUUUGUUCUUUAAUAUUUUCUUAGAUGCAUCAUAUAUGAACCUAUGCUUCUUGAAGGGGAUUUGCAUGACUAUAGCUUUGAUAUUAUGUGAUUACAUGCUUCCGUUGCAAAUGUAUAUAAAUUUUGAAUUGUAUAUGCAUGCUAGUCAUUAGAAAUCCCACAUAAAUCUCAUUAUUUCCCUUCAUUUUGAGGACGUAAUCCUGUUGGGAGUCUGGCUCUUGAGAUUCGGAGAGCAGUGCCUCUUCGAUUUUUUAGCAAGCAAUCUUGUUGGGAGUGUUUUCUUGAAUGUGAGUAAAGGUUGGGCAUUUUUA
Molecule: long non-coding RNA, 11057 nt
Filed under: Malus domestica (apple)
Lineage: Eukaryota; Viridiplantae; Streptophyta; Magnoliopsida; Rosales; Rosaceae
Description: long non-coding RNA (MDOM_LNC014080)
Source: RNAcentral